GCACAGGCACUCAUCCAAGCACGCAGGCGCUGAGUUUGCUUCGGUGACGCACGGGGCCGUUUUCGCACACCCGUCACCGUCGUCGUCGCCGUCUCUUGGUCUUAUAUCGUCUGCGUCUUCUCUUCACCUGCUCCCGCCAUCCCCCGAAGCGUGGGUCUCUCGGUGGCACAGAUGCGGUGCCGCGCGCUGCGGCUGCGAACGGCCGUUUCAGGUGUGGAGGAGAGCCAGUUUUUCGCCUCCAUGCGGGCGCAGAUUCUAAGUGAUCUACGCACUAACACAAAUGACCGAAGCCUCGCGGGCCGCGUGGACCCACAGAUCGCCAAGCUAGUCGAUUACAUCAACGGCUCCUUCACCCAGUACGUAACCAGUAGCUCAUGCGGGGGACGGGUGGUGCUUUUCCACAAAGGCAUAACGAGCAAUGGUACGGCGAGCUCACCCCACGCAACCGCGGAGCCGGCCGGGUCUUCGUCACCCACAGCCGCAUCCUCUGUCGAGCGGCGGAAACGCGGCUCUUUUGGUCGAGGAACUCUGUACCAGUCACACGAUCCUCUGCCGACGGACACAUCGAUCACUGUGAGAGAGCGCAUCGUGCCUGCUCUGGAAGAGUUUUGGGCAUGGCGGCAGGCGCAGACUUCCGAUGCGCGGCUGCAAACGACGGAGGUGCUGCAGCUCAAGUUUGAGCCAAUGAUUCUGCACGUACUUUGCGCUGACUUCGAAGCCGCCGCCGAGCUGCUCAAGUGUGGCAGUGAGAGCGGGCAGAUGAACAGCGGCAUCGUCUCUUGCUCGCGUGGGACCACGGCACAUCGUAAGAUCACUUGCUGCGUCACCUCUCCGCUCUGCGUCGAUGUGCCGCUCUUUGCCCACGACGCGUGGUGCGUCUCACCCGCCAACUUCCGCAGCGACGUCUGGGCAACGUUCUUGACAGCCUCCCUCGAUCACAUCAACGCGCUUUUUGCGGAGAACGCCACGCGCCGCAAACGAUUUGAGUUGGAGCUACACGCGCGUGCUGGGAAGGCGGCCGCGCAGCAACAGCGGGGCGGCAUCCGUGAUUGAGAUGGGAAGAGGUCAAAGACUCAGCGAGCAGUACACUUGUGCGCGUGCAUGCACUGUGACCCACACACACACACACGCACAAGCACACGUAAAGCCUCACUAUCAGCGUGCUAGCACACGGCGCCACCUUCGCUGACGGGGAGCGACAUCACCACGCGAUAUGUAAGUGUAACGCCUUUUCAUCAGCGACGAGAGCAGCAAAUCUAAAACACACACACACACACACACACACAGAAACGGCGGGGCAAGGCGUAAGAAGACGGACUUCGCUGACGUGAAGAUGCACACACGUGAGCGGUGUGCUUCGUUCCUCGGUUAGGGGCCCAUGUGCUGUGGCGCGGAGUGCGGGGAGGAGGGGAGGGGGGCUGAAUAUGGCGCCAUGCUCGUCAGCCCUCGCACCAAGUCCUUCCCCUCUCUCUCUGCUUCUCUUUCGAUACCCACCCUCCCCCCUUUCGUUGAGUUGUAUCGUUGAGGCGCCAGCGGACUGCGGUUGUGUCGCCAUCUUCUAUCAGCGCCAUCUUCUUCUGCCCACCGCCUCGUCUUCCUGCGCACGCUUCUCCGAAUCUCCUCAUUUCUGCUCAUGCGCGAAG
RNAcentral lists this unclassified non-coding RNA (1643 nucleotides) under Leishmania donovani. Its description in RNAcentral is "gene:LdHU3.32.5030(CDS-product:Methyltransferase_ TYW3_putative)". Lineage: Eukaryota; Euglenozoa; Kinetoplastea; Trypanosomatida; Trypanosomatidae. The record is from RNAcentral.